Haliotis rufescens (red abalone) is the source of this 252-nucleotide long non-coding RNA. RefSeq lists it as uncharacterized. The transcript has 3 exons. Lineage: Eukaryota; Metazoa; Mollusca; Gastropoda; Lepetellida; Haliotidae. The record is from RefSeq and is a predicted model, not a curated record.
ACGUAACAUAACACUUACAACGUUACAAUGCAGAUAACAGUCAUGUGCACGCCCUUCUUGUUUGUUGCCUUUGCGCUGUUUAUCGGUUUUUGCCGUCUUCCAUUUUGCCGCCACAUGCAUAUGCACCAUAUGCAUCACAUGCACACGCACCACCACUUCAGAAAUAGGUUCAUUGGAUAAACGGACCUCCAGAACACAGCCGUGUGUUGCGUUAUAUUUUUUAUAUCAUCUGUCUGAAACAAUAUUUUCAAA